RNAcentral lists this ribosomal RNA (253 nucleotides) under uncultured bacterium. RNAcentral's name for it is "partial 16S ribosomal RNA". It matches the Rfam family "Bacterial small subunit ribosomal RNA", at positions 524 to 776 of the family's 1533-position model. The record is from RNAcentral.
UACGUAGGGUGCGAGCGUUAAUCGGAAUUACUGGGCGUAAAGCGUGCGCAGGCGGCGCGUUAAGACAGGUGUGAAAGCCCCGAGCUUAACUUGGGAAUUGCGCUUGUGACUGGCGUGCUGGAGUGUGGCAGAGGGAGGUGGAAUUCCACGUGUAGCAGUGAAAUGCGUAGAGAUCUGGAGGAACACCGAUGGCGAAGGCAGCCCCCUGGGCUAACACUGACGCUCAUGCACGAAAGCGUGGGGAGCAAACAGG